This 484-nucleotide ribosomal RNA is filed under the name uncultured bacterium. RNAcentral's name for it is "partial 16S ribosomal RNA". It matches the Rfam family "Bacterial small subunit ribosomal RNA", at positions 29 to 507 of the family's 1533-position model. The record is from RNAcentral.
AUUGAACGCUGGCGGAAUGCUUUACACAUGCAAGUCGAGCGGCAGCGCGGCCUUCGGGCUGGCGGCGAGCGGCGAACGGGUGAGUAAUGCAUCGGAACAUGCCCAGUCGUGGGGGAUAACACUUCGAAAGAAGUGCUAAUACCGCAUACGUCCUGAGGGGGAAAGCGGGGGAUCGCAAGACCUCGCGCGAUUGGAGUGGCCGAUGUCAGAUUAGCUAGUUGGUGGGGUAAAGGCCUACCAAGGCGACGAUCUGUAGCUGGUCUGAGAGGAUGAUCAGCCACACUGGGACUGAGACACGGCCCAGACUCCUACGGGAGGCAGCAGUGGGGAAUUUUGGACAAUGGGGGCAACCCUGAUCCAGCCAUUCCGCGUGAGUGAAGAAGGCCUUCGGGUUGUAAAGCUCUUUCGGCAGGAACGAAACGGUGGGCUCUAACAUAGUCAGCUAAUGACGGUACCUGAAGAAGAAGCACCGGCUAACUACGUG